RNAcentral lists this transfer RNA (72 nucleotides) under Ostorhinchus novemfasciatus (sevenstriped cardinalfish). RNAcentral's name for it is "tRNA-Trp". It matches the Rfam family "tRNA". Rfam says of the family: Transfer RNA (tRNA) molecules are approximately 80 nucleotides in length. Their secondary structure includes four short double-helical elements and three loops (D, anti-codon, and T loops). The record is from RNAcentral. Lineage: Eukaryota; Metazoa; Chordata; Actinopteri; Kurtiformes; Apogonidae.
GGAAACUUAGGCUAGCACUUAGACCAAGGGCCUUCAAAGCCUUAAGCGAGGGUGAAAAUCCCCCAGUUCCCG